GCAAAGGAGAAAUAAUGGCUAGCCUAACAGACUUGGUCUCAGGAAAUCUCUGACUGGUUGUUAACAUAUUCCCCACUGUGACCUAAGUUUUUGCAUCUUGGAGUGGGGAAUAGUUAACCUAGUCUCACUUUAUAGUAUCUUGGUUUAAUAGAUAUUUGAGGGAGGACAUGCAGUAUGGGAGAAGAAUAAUGAGGUUAUCAAGAAGACAUGAGCCCUGGCCCCAGGUUGGCUUCAAAUAGCUGUGUGACCCUCUUAUCCGAAGUUAUUCACCAGAUAUAGAUAGUUUACUUGUGACAUCUCUAAGUAUAAUUAUAUUGUGGACCAGUGUUUUUAAUAAAGUUGCCUCCCUGUACGUGGGGAAAGGCAGUUCUUACCGGAGUAGUGAUCCAAAAAGAUAGGCCAUUUAUUUGUGAGUCACAGUUGGGCAAGUGAGGUGGGAACAGAAGACUGAUCAUUUGGUGGGGGAGAGGGGAUGAAGCUUGGUGAUCUGGAGAACUAGAAAAUUGAGGUCAUCCUAGUCUCAGCAAGUGAUCAAGGUUGCCAGAAAAGUGCUUUCAUAAGAUUGGAAAAGAAGAUGGUACAAGCAUUUAAAGAUAGGCUGGGUGCUCAAGUAUAUAACAGAGUAGGAGAAAGAGAAAAAAAGAAUAAGAGUAGCUACAAGAGUAGUUGAUAAUUUUUACAUCUGUCUUCAUUAUAUGUACCUGUUACUGCUUUAUUUCUCUGAAAAAAUCAAAGAGUAAGACUUUUUUUUUUUUUUUUUUUAGAUCAGGGUGAGGGAAAUACAUUCUUAAAGUUCAAGCAACUUUGGCUAAAAGCUAUUAUUCUUACCAACAAGCAACUUUGGCUAAAAGUUAUUAUUCUUACCAAAUUUUGCAAAGCAAUUAUUAUAAUUUUUUACUCUUUCAAACCAAAGAUACAUAAUAUAGAGAUUGCUUUAGACAUACAUAAGCCUACAAAGGAAGCAUGUGUUUAGCUGGCAGUCUAAAAAUACCACCAGUAUUAAAAUAUUAAAAAAUUCAUGAUUCACUUCUCUCAUUACAUCACCUUCAGAAAAAGUGUCCAUUUAAUAAUAUUUUCAUGGGAUAAAAUAGGUUUAAAAUGUAAACAAUUUUUUUUAUGAUUCAGUUGUAGUUCUAUGGUCUAGUCCCCAGCUUUUGUCUCAUUGGACAAGUUCUUGAACGGCUGUGAGCCUUGGUUUUCUCAACUGUAAAAUAAGGAAAACAUAUGCACCACCACCACCUCCAGUGAAAGAAUGUUAAGAGAAGGUAAAAGGAAAACAUAAAGAUUAAAUAAAUUUAAACAUGAAGUAGUUUGAUAUUUUACAGAAGUACCAAAGCAACUCAGUGGGAAAGGAAAGUCUUUUCAACAGACAAUGCUAUACCAAUUUGACAUCUAUAAGAGAAAAAAUGAACCUUACCUCACACCAUACAUAGAAGUUAGAGAUGGAUCAUAGACAUAACAUAAAAGCCAAAGCUAUUACACUUUUAGAAGAAGACAUAUAAGAAUAUUCUCACAGCUUGGGGGUAUGCAAAGUUUCUUAGAGAGGGUUUUGAAAGCACUAACCAUGAAAGAAAAAUAUUGAUAAAUUGAACUCCCAAAAAAUUUUGAACUUUUUUUCAUCAAGACACCAUUAAGAUUAUGUAUAAACCACCAGCCAGGAUAAAAUAUUCACAGUACAUGUAUCUUGAUAAAAACUUGUAUUUAGAAUAUAUUAAAAACUCAACAAUGGAAAGGCAGAUAACCUUACAAAAAUAUAUAUAUAUGAAUGGCCAAUAAGCACAUGAUAAAGUAGUCAGCAUCAUUAUUCAGAGUGAAAUGAACAUUAAAAUUUCAGUGAGUUAGCUCUGUACCAGAAUGACUAAAAUUUAAAUGACCACACCAAAUGUCAGGGAGGAUGUGAAGCAACAUUGCUAGUGGAAGUGUAAAAUGGAAGAACCAUUUUGGAAAAGGGCCUGGAAGUUUCUUAUAAAAUUAAACACACCUAUUCUUUGAGCCAGCCAUCCCACUCCUGGUAUUUACCCAAGAGAAAUGAAAGCAUAUGUCCACAAAAAGACUUGUAUUAGACAAUUUAUAGCAGUUUUUAUUCAUUGUUGCCAAAAACUGGAAACAGGAUCGUUGUCCAACAGCAGGAGAACAGAUAAAAAUUGGUAUAUUCAAACAAUGGAAUAAUACUCAGCAAAAGAAAGAAAUUAACUACUGAUGAAACAACAGGAGUCAAUCUCAAAAACAUUUUACUGAGUGAAAGAAGCUAGAUAUGAAAGAGCACAAACUGUAAGAUUCCAUAUAUAUGAAUUUCCGAAUAGGCAAAGCCAACCUAUAGUGAAAAAAAACAAAAACAAAAACAGAGAUUGGCUUUGUGGAAGAGAGAAGUGGAAACUAGGAAAGGAGAUGAGGGGAACUUCUAAGCUCACAGUGUGAUCCAUGUCAUAGUAGGGGAUACACAGGCAUAUGCAUCUGUCAAAACUCAGAGAAUGUCCUAUUUAUGUUCCACGAUUAUUUAACAACACAAAGAACCCUAAGCAAAUAAUGAACUCUAUUAAUGUAAUACAUACCAAUAGAGAUGAAGUGUGUCGAUAUCUUCAGCUUACAGUGAAGGGCAUCAAAAAAUAAGAUGAAUGGAAAGAGGGAUGAAUAGAUAAGGGGCAAGGCAAAUACGGCAAAAUGCUAAUUGUAGAAUCUAGGAUGUUUGCUAUAUAAUACUUUUCAACGUUUCUGUAUGGUUGAAAAUUUUCCUAAUGUUGAGGAAAAUAUAAAUUUUAUAUUUUUAUCUAAAUAGGAAAACCUAUUAAACUUGAUCAAUAGCAGCAUCUGAUGAAGAAGAUAAAACAAUACAUACAAUACAUACAGAGAUCUUCCAACAAACCCACUUGCUCGGGAGGCUGACUGGGAGCUGCAACUUGCUGCCUCUGCCCAACAUCACGAGAGAGUAUUGUACCACAUACCACUAGCCCAGGAAAAGAUCAAAAUUCAAAAUCUGAGGCCUGCUAAGUAGCAUUGAGUGGUGGUUAACAGAAUGGGCUUAAGCCAGACUUACAAGGUUUGAAUCCUGGCUCUGCCACUUUUUAGCUGUGAGACAUUGGGUAAGUUGCUUAAUUUAUUGGUGUUUGCUUUCUGCAUCUUUAUUUUAUUUGAUUUUAUUUAUUUUAUUUUUUGCUUUCUGCAUCUUUAAAGUGCAAUAAUACCUACCCCCAUUAGGUUGUUGUAAAGAAUAAAAACAUUAAUAUAUGUAAGUCUUCAAAUGUUACCUGCAUUAAGUAAAGUGGUAGUUAUUAUCAUUUGCUACCUAUGGUUCAUUGAGUACUUACCUUGCCAUGAAAUCAAUUCUGUCCCAGGUAUGAGAAAGCAGUUAGAUUAAAGACCUUGUUUCUUAUUUAUAUUUUUUAAAUAAUUUUAAUAAAAAUAUUCUUAUAGACCGACACUGUCCAGUAUGGUAGCUACUAGCCCUAUGUAGUUAUUGAACACUUGAAAUGUAGCUAAUUAGAAGAGUAGUGUUGCAAGUAUAAAAUAACUCAGAUUUUAAAGAUUUAGAAGAAAGGCAUUAGUGAAAAUAAUAAAGCAUGUCAAAAGUCCUUCUGUCUGUAAGAGCAACUAAAAACUCUCAAAACUUGUGAGAAUCAACUUUUUCAGAAUUCUGGA
Molecule: long non-coding RNA, 3636 nt
Organism: Prionailurus viverrinus (fishing cat)
Lineage: Eukaryota; Metazoa; Chordata; Mammalia; Carnivora; Felidae
Exons: 3
Source: RefSeq, a predicted model, not a curated record